UCCGGUUUAUCACCGGCAGUCCCCUUAGAGUUCCCGGCCAAGCCGAUGGCAACUAAGGGUAAGGGUUGCGCUCGUUACGGGACUUAACCCAACAUCUCACGACACGAGCUGACGACAGCCAUGCAGCACCUGUCACUCGAUUCCCGAAGGCACUCCUCUAUUUCUAGAGGAUUCCGAGGAUGUCAAGAGUAGGUAAGGUUCUUCGCGUUGCAUCGAAUUAAACCACAUGCUCCACCGCUUGUGCGAGCCCCCGUCAAUUCCUUUGAGUUUUAACCUUGCGGCCGUACUCCCCAGGCGGAGAACUUAACGCGUUAGCUUCGACACUAGGAGUAUUCCCCCAACGUCUAGUUCUCAUCGUUGACAGCGUGGACUAC
RNAcentral lists this unclassified non-coding RNA (374 nucleotides) under uncultured Gammaproteobacteria bacterium. RNAcentral describes it as "contains 16S-23S intergenic spacer region". Lineage: Bacteria; Pseudomonadati; Pseudomonadota; Gammaproteobacteria. The record is from RNAcentral.